Molecule: transfer RNA, 68 nt
Filed under: Squilloides leptosquilla
Lineage: Eukaryota; Metazoa; Arthropoda; Malacostraca; Stomatopoda; Squillidae
Description: tRNA-Asp
Rfam family: tRNA
About the family: Transfer RNA (tRNA) molecules are approximately 80 nucleotides in length.
Source: RNAcentral
AAAAAAUUAGUUAAUAAAAUAACAUAAGCUUGUCAAGCUUAAAUUACUAAUUAAAAUAGUAUUUUUUA